AGAAUGAAGAUGGCUUCCUGUCCCGCUAGCGUCACGUCGGGAUCUGCCUUCACCAAGGCCUUCACUCGCGCCAGAGGCAACCUCGAGAGACGAGCCCCAGGCACACUCGUUGGGGCCUGGGGCUGCGAGGCCGCUGCCUCCCCAGCAGGUCCCAGGCCUAAAGAGCAACCAUACUGUGGGACAUUCUCUUCUCAUGGCAGACAGCAGAAGAUCAAGAGGGACGAACCAAAAUAUGCCUUGUCUCAUAACCUUGUGCUUAGAACUGGCACUUUGUCGCUUCCACCCAUGUUCCACGGAUCAAAGCAACAAUUAAGGCCAAGCCCCACAUCAGUGGAGCAGGGGUGCACGUGUCCCUUCAGGGAGAAUGGGCAAGUCACACCAUGGGCAGGGCUGUGUCACCCUAUUACAGGGGGAAACUAGGAGUUGGGAACAACAGUUCUUUCUACCACAGAUUUAGAGUGUACUCUUUUGAGGAACUUGAUGGUAAAAGUAAACAGAGCAGUAACUAAAGGAAGAUAAGAAGCCAACUAUGGCUUCCAUUUUGUUUUAUUUUUCAGGUAGGAGACAUUUGAGUAAGUUUAUAUAUUACUGGGGAAGGAGACAGAAAGGAGCAAUAAAAAUACAGAAAUGAAAAGAAAGAAGUGAUGAACAUCACUUCGACAAUUCUUCACUUUCAAAACGCAAACUGUAUCACCCGGGGUCCAAUUAAGACACAGAAACCACACUAUAAUUUGGUUGGGGAAAGUUUAAUAUAAAAAAAGUUGGCUGCUAAGCAGUAACAAAAGAGAAUUGGCUGCUAAUGGGGUAACAAGAAGUCUAAAGAAUAGAGGACUGACAUGUACAGAAAGCGGCCACUAUCCCCAGGGCUGAGGCAGAGCACACAAGGAUGGAAUGACUAUGGAAGAGCAGCCCCCACUACCUGAGCUGAGAUCCAGACCUUGAUGGGAAGUACACAGCCAUGACUUACUGGGUGGUGCAGUCACCGAGGGGCAUCCUGGCAGGACUCACUGGCAAUUCACCUUCUGGGGUACUGAGAGAAGAUGCCUAUGGAAACACAUGCUGCUGGUCACCGGUCACUGUGCACUACAAAAGUCUGCCUAGAAAAAAAAAAAAAAACAUUAAACUAGGAAAUACUGUUCAUCCUCCAGUGUCCCCUACUGAUGAAGCAUAUAACAUCAUACUAGCUAAGCAAGGGGAAAGGUUCCAAUAUCACAAGCAAGCAAUGAAGGCCAUUAUAACUACAUUCUUAGAAUGUGAUCCCUUUCAACAUUUCCUGCACCUCUGCUUCUGCACACUACCACCAAAAGACAAGAAAGGCAAGGAGACGUGACUGGAGCAAGAAAAACAGUGUUUUUCACACAAGGAUGUCCACUCCUUGUUGGGAAUGGCUUAAGAUCGACCUGGGAAAGCAAAACAUCGCCAUAUCAUUUGGAGGAAAGGCACUGGUUGGAAGAGCCUGUUGGCGUGGCAAAGCCAAGGUCUUUAAAGUCCUCAGAGAAGGCAGGCAUAGCCACCACUGGAGGACUUCCUGAUAUGUGGUACAGAGACUGAUGAGGGCAUGGGGUGACAACCUUAGGUGCCAACAGCAAGGGGAUGGAUAUACAGGGUAAAGGAGGCUUGCUGCCAUCCUACGCCUUUGAACGCCACAAAUCAGAGAUGGUACCAUGGAGGAACAUGAACAGGUGAGAGCUGAGGCAUGGGUGCCCACACACAGCCCAAGCCCAGGUGCUAACAGUUGACCAUCAGUAGCCCAGUGCCCCGAAUUCAUCCUGCGCCUGAUUAUCACCCAAAAGCAGUGCAUCGGCACCAUUCUGGUGACUCAAUAUCACACAAUGGCACCAGCCAGCAGGAACAAUCCAAUUGCCAGGCUGCCCUCCUGCACAGAGCCCAAGCCACAGAGCCCUCAGAUAACUCCAUUGAUGCAAAUCUCAGAGUUCCUCAAGGAAACAGGUCAACCCUGCACAUGGAGUGGAGAUUCAGAAAGGCCCCAAAAAGGAAAAAAACAAGGAUCAGUGUCCAUGUAUGUCCCUGUAUGGGGCUGCCAUUUGUCCUAACCACCCUGGGGUCUGCCAUAGCUGAGCCAGCCCUACUGGAAGAGGAUAGUCAAAUAACCUCACUCGUAUUCUUUUGCCACUUACUGUGUUGCCCUAGCUUCCCUCCAGGGGAUCCUCAUUUUGUCCUAGGCUCAACCUUACCUUUGAUCACUUUAGGACUCAGGCACAAGAUUUCACAUUGCUGGGAAUCCAUUUUCAGUCUUUGAAAAGACACAGUGAUUCUUCAGGAAGUUUGUUAUCCCAAAGAUGCAACAGAGACAGAAUUUCCCAGCUUGAAGGGAUUUGAAACAUCCAUAAAGUUACAGAAAUUCAUAUCUGGAGGAGUCUUAACGGUCAUUCAGACCAACGCUUUCUCGGGUAUCUAUAACAUCCAAUGCCCUAGUUUCCCUGCUGUCUUUUUUGGCCACUCCUUUUCAAUCUCCUUUGCAGGCUACCCUUUACAGGGCUCAGUCUCCACACUCUUUUGUUCUAGAUUUUCCCCUGGUGACCUCACCGAGGCCUACAGCUUUAAAUACCAUCCAUAUGCUGAUAAUUCCCAAAUUUAUAUUUCCAGUCCCAAGCUCUCCACUGAGUUUCAGGCUCAUAUAUCCAAAUGUCUACUUCUUGCCUUCAGUAUACCUUACAAACCUCUCAAGUUUGACGUGCCUAGAACUGGACUCUGGAUUUUACCUUUUGCCCGUAUCAACAAGUUCCUCUCUUAGUCUUCCAAUCACAGAAAGGGCUCCACCAUCAAGAUGGACAUGAGCCUAAAACCCAAGAAUUCUUGUUUCCUGCCUUCCUUUCCUUCUCUCACAUUCAGUCUCCUGGUAGACUUGUUCAUUUACUUCCACCAUUUCUAUCUACUUCUUUUCAUCUCCAGUGCCAACAUUCUUGUCCAAGCCAUCACUCUCUCUCCCCAAACCACUCCAAUAGCAUCCUAACUGGUUUUCCCUACCCUUAUCUCACCUCAAUCCAUUCUCUGCAUAUUAGCUGGAGUGAUCCUUUCAAGAAGUGAAUACAAACCUUAAAUCUUUCAACAGCCCUCACUGCAUCCAGAAUAAAAUCCAAGCACCUAUAACUGCCUAAUAUGGCUUCUGUCCACAUCUAACCUCAAAUCUUACCUUCUGCCCUUGCUGUGCUCAAGCCUUUCUGGCCUUUCAUUUCCUUAAACACACCAAGCCUUUCCAGCAUCAGAGACUUUACAAUUCUUCCUGGAAUGCUCUUCCACUAAUUUCUUUAGGUCAUAGUUUGUGGUCAUUUGAAAACAUGUCCACAAAUUCUUUUCUAUCCUAAAAAAAGGGGGAAUCCAAUUCCCCUCCUCUUGAACAUGGACUAGCCUCAGUGGCUUGCUACUAAUGAAUUAAAUGGUAUAGAAGUGACUGUAACUUCUUAGACUAGGUGACCAAAGAUGGCACAGCCUCCACCUGGUUCUCUGUCUUGUGAGGCUCACCCUUGGAACCCAGCCAUCAUGCUGUGACAAAGCCAUGUACCACAUGCAGGUGUUUCGGGGAACAGACCUGUCAGAGGUCCUUGCCAACAGCCAACAUCAGUCAGCAUCAACCACUAGACAUGUAAGUGAGGAAGCCUCCAGAUGAUUCCAGUUCCCACCUUCAGCUGAUGUUAGGUGGAGCAGAGACAUGCUGUCCCCACCUGCCUAAACUGCAGAUUCAUGAGUAAUGUAAUUUCUGUCAUUGUUUUAAGCCAUUAAGUUUUGGGGCAGUUUGUCACACAGCAAUAGACAACUGGAACACAGCUCAUAUGCCCCUUCUCAGAACUGCCCUCCCUGAUCAUCCUAAGUGCCCAUUGGCAUUAUCCAUAACCUGAAAAUUAUUAUGAUUGAUCCUAAAGUCCAGCCUGGUGCCUGGCACGUAGGAGAUGCUCAGUGAAUAUUUGUGGAAUGAUUGAAUAAGGAAAUGAAUCCUCUUGUCACAUUUGAAGUUAUCAGUCAUCAAUAAAAUGGGGAUUUGUUUCAUCGUU
RNAcentral lists this long non-coding RNA (4010 nucleotides) under Homo sapiens (human). RNAcentral's name for it is "uncharacterized LOC105374809, transcript variant 6 (LOC105374809)". The record is from RNAcentral. Lineage: Eukaryota; Metazoa; Chordata; Mammalia; Primates; Hominidae.